UUAUGCAUUGCAAAUACGUUCGUCAGUAGUUGAAAAGUCAAAGAUGGAAUUUUGAAUAAGUCAAUCACAGCGUGUUAUCAUCAUCUUCCCUUAAAUUUCAGCUGGUGGAGAUGAAAACCUGCUCAAACAACUCAACAAAUUGAUAUUUCAUUGAAUCCUUGUGGUUCCUAUGGAUCUGUACAUCUUUUCGUCCACAUUUGCUCUACUAAGUCCCUCUCUCUUACUCACCGGUCACAUCCACUGUCUCCGCACCACUAACACCGUCGUUCCACUUCUCCAACCUCACUUCUCUAACACGAACCUGCUCCUGCAUUCUCCGCCUCUUUCAUUUGUCCUUUCUCUUUCAGGAUGAAUUGGGUUGCUAAACUGUACUCUUUAAUGAACGACCACCAAAUACAGAUUCACCAAGGUACCCCCUUAUCUUCGUAUUUGGGAACACUUUUUGUAUUAGAGACGCAAAAGGGUUCUCUUUGUUUCUGUCUAUCUCGCUCCAUUCAAGAUCAUGAGAAACUUUUCAUGUGACUUUUUUGUUACCUUUUCAUUAUCAGAUUUUUUUUUUGUUGUAGGAUAAAAUCAGGAAGACCAAUAAGAAAUAAAAAUAUCUAUGUGUGUGUAACGAUAUCAUGCUCCAAACCUCAUUCUCAAUCUCGAUUUCAAUCCUUGAAACUUACUCUCGAUCUUGAUAUUCUACAGAUAAGAGACAACUACAAUUUCAAGCCCUAAAUUUCAAAGGUAAGCAACGAUUUCAAUCCCUAAAAAUCACUCUUGAUCUCGAUUUCAAGCUCUAAACCACAAUCUCGAUUUUGAUUUUGAUGUUUUGCAGAUAGGAGAUAAGAUAUGAUUCCAUGACCUAAGCAUCUCUCUCUCUCUCUCUCUCUCUCUCUCUCUCUCUCUCUCUCUCUGGUUUACCAUCAAGGACACAAAACGUUACGAUUUCGUGUUUUUUCUUUUCUUCUUUUGAUUUGUUGCAUAAACAUCAAUUUUUGCUACAUAAAUUUAAAACUUAAAGGUAUUUUGAGGAAUUUAAGGGUUGGAUUUCGUAUAUGUGUGUAUGUUUAACAGGUGAACCUAAAAAGUAGAAGGUUUGAAAAUGGUUAAAGGCAAUUAACAGGUAUGUAUUUUUGUAUGUAGGUGUGUGUGUGUGUGUGUAUUUAUGUAGGAGUCUAAUGUGCAUAUGUUUAUAUCCAGGUGGUUUUAUUUGUUUUUGUGUGUUUUUAUGUAGGUGUGUGUAUCUGUGUUGGUGUAUAUAUAAGGUAAUAGCCUAUGAUUUUUGUUCUUCUCGUUGGAAGGGUAUUUUCUGUGGAUGAAUCUGAUUAUAAAUUUACUUUAAAGCUGAACAUCUAUCUGUAGAUGAGUGGCUAUAGGUUUGUGGUUUUCAUGCUAUAUCUCCUUAAAUGCCAAAGCUUGCUUAUAUUGUAUUCUCUUUUCUAUGAAAAUUCUGUAAUUAAACUUCUGAACAUAUAUUUCUGAAUGAAGGAUAAAAUAGGAGUAAAGGAAUAUGGAAAUGGAAUGGGAAUCAGUAGAUGCCAAUCAUAUUCUAUGGAGAGGUUUGUUAAUUUGUUUUAUCUUAAUUUUUAUGAAAACAAUUUAAGUCGACUUCUAAUCGUUACUAUUCAUAAGAUGGGCUGGUUUUAAUAUAUAAUUUUUUUCAAGAUGGUGAUUUUAAUGAGUUACUGAUUUGUAAUUUAUAAGAGGUCCUGCAUCUACUAAAACAUUUUGAGUUUUGAGAAUUUCAUUUUCUGGUUUAUAUUUCUUUGUUCUUGUAUUUGUACGUGAGUUUUUUUCUCACAGUUUGAGUUUUCUGAUUAUGUUCCCCUGUCACUUUUCAUUCAGAUUAAACCGCAUGGAGUUGUUUCUAACUUACACCGUAUAGUUGAAAGUAUUUAAUUUUCCCUUCUAGGUUAAAUGUUAUAAAACACUUCAAAUGGUCAAAAAGUAUGUGUUUGUAAUGUGUGUGUCUGUAAUGUGUUUAUGUGUGUGCGUUCUACGUUAGUGUCUCCAAUUUAUAUUAAAUGAAGUAAUUUCGUUUAAAAUUGAGUAAUCCAUAAGAAAAUUAUUCUACAUCUUUUAUUUUUAAUCACAUAUAUCAUCUUACAAGCAUUUUGAGCAGAUGAGAAGGGAAGCAACAACAAUCAAAGAUUUAAAUAAUCCAAAAUGAAGUCAAGAUAGGUGAGGGUGGGGUUAAUGUUGUUGGCAUGUUGCUUGAAAACAAAAAUGAAAUGGAUAGUUCUAUUUUACAAUACUACCACUAGCCGAAUAACAAAUAUAGAAAAAUGGGCCUUGUGAACUAAUUUGUAAUAUUAAUAAAUUGCUAACUUGGACUAUUCUACAUGGUGAUAGCUAUUUCUUAUAUUUACCACGUGGUGUUAUUGAAAUCUUGAUUUGUUUUGUAAAAUAAAUUAAGCAAGAUUAAUUAAAUCUAAAAAUCCCUAACAUAUUUUGAUUUAAGUUUGGCACUUUUAGGUUUGGUUGUAAAAUAUUAAUCUUUUUCGUUUUACCUAAUAAAUUCAUUUCAAACUUGACAAAAUCCAAUAUCAAGUUUCAUUUUAAACUUGGUUUUGCAUUACUCUACACACAAGUGUGUUGGCUUUCCCUAUGUUGACCAAGUACUCCACAUAUCCAAUUGAAUCCAAUUGAAUGAGUUUAACCCCCUAUACAAGUUAUAAAAGCAUUUCCACUAUAUCUUUCAUCCCACUCUCAACCAUCGGUCUUCAUGAAACCCUUAAAUACCCUCCCCCGAAAGUCAACCUCUACUAUCACCACUUACCGCCAUUGUUACAAGCUAUUCGCACCCGUCGUUUUGCGC
This 2806-nucleotide long non-coding RNA is filed under the name Lactuca sativa (garden lettuce). Its description in RNAcentral is "long non-coding RNA (LSAT_LNC003070)". Lineage: Eukaryota; Viridiplantae; Streptophyta; Magnoliopsida; Asterales; Asteraceae. The record is from RNAcentral.